GCUGGGCGUGGUGGCGCGCACCUGUAGUCCCAGCUACUUGGGAGGCUGAGGCAGAAGGAUCACUUGAACCCAGGAGCCGAGAUUGUGCCACUGUGCUCCAGCCUGGGUGACAGAGUGAGACUCUGUCUCAA
Molecule: unclassified non-coding RNA, 131 nt
Organism: Pongo abelii (Sumatran orangutan)
Lineage: Eukaryota; Metazoa; Chordata; Mammalia; Primates; Hominidae
Rfam family: Metazoan signal recognition particle RNA
About the family: The signal recognition particle (SRP) is a universally conserved ribonucleoprotein. It is involved in the co-translational targeting of proteins to membranes. The eukaryotic SRP consists of a 300-nucleotide 7S RNA and six proteins: SRPs 72, 68, 54, 19, 14, and 9.
Source: Ensembl